Molecule: ribosomal RNA, 261 nt
Filed under: uncultured archaeon
Lineage: Archaea
Description: partial 16S ribosomal RNA
Rfam family: Archaeal small subunit ribosomal RNA
Source: RNAcentral
CAGCCGUAAACAAUGUGCGUUAGGUGUGUCGGUAACCACGUGUUACUGAUGCGCCGAAGAGAAAUCGUGAAACGCACCACCUGGGAAGUACGGUCGCAAGGCUGAAACUUAAAGGAAUUGGCGGGGGAGCACCACAACAGGUGGAGCCUGCGGUUUAAUUGGAUUCAACGCCGGACAUCUCACCGGAUAAGACAGCUGAAUGAUUGCCGGGCUGAAGACUCUGCAUGACUAGCUGAGAGGAGGUGCAUGGCGUAGACGUCU